Molecule: microRNA precursor, 156 nt
Filed under: Gossypium raimondii (Peruvian cotton)
Lineage: Eukaryota; Viridiplantae; Streptophyta; Magnoliopsida; Malvales; Malvaceae
Description: miR7492e stem-loop (gra-MIR7492e)
Source: miRBase by way of RNAcentral
CCGCUAAAGGCCAUGAUCUUUAGCGGCGUUUGCGUUAAAAGCGUCACUAAAGACCAUCAUCUUUAGCGGCGUUUGUAGUAGAAGCGCUGCUAAAGGUCAUGAUAUCUAGCGACGUUUGUGGCAAAAGUGCCGCUAAAGACCAUGAUCUUUAGCGGC